RNAcentral lists this small RNA (243 nucleotides) under Notechis scutatus (mainland tiger snake). RNAcentral describes it as "7SK RNA (ENSNSUG00000004436.1)". It matches the Rfam family "7SK RNA", at positions 50 to 314 of the family's 331-position model. Rfam says of the family: 7SK was discovered as an abundant small nuclear RNA in the mid-70s but a possible function has only recently been suggested. Two independent studies have found that 7SK RNA binds the CDK9/cyclin T complex (known as elongation factor P-TEFb). Lineage: Eukaryota; Metazoa; Chordata; Lepidosauria; Squamata; Elapidae. The record is from RNAcentral.
GGGUUGAUUCAGGCAAUCUGGUUGACUGGUCAGUGUCUCCUUCCUCCCUCGCCAAUCCCAUUUGCGGCCUUCCCAAACCUGCACGCUUGGUGGAAUAUCAUCCCCAAUAGAAGCGUAUUGAUUUUGGUCAAGGUUAUAUAAUAGCUGUUCUCCCCUGAUAGAUCUUCCCAAAAAAAGCUCCAGAACUUUCUUCCCUGGAUAUUGGACGCACCUGCUAACAUACAGAAAAGAUGCUGAGACUCG